UCUAUGCAUACCCAGCUUGAUCAUGAAGAUCGGACCGCACUUUUCGGCGAUGUUGCCCAAGGUGACAUAAGCUGGUUUUUGGCCCCCUAACAGGUGGAGGUGACCAAUCAAAGGCCAUGCACCACCAGGCUCCGGCACCGGUUUCUUGUCGAUUGAGUUUCUGUGCCGUCUUGAUAACCAUAGUAGAGAGUAAACAAGCAAAAACAAAGUGAAAAAGCCAGUAAUAAAAACAGUUGGUGUGAAAGGAACAUGAGUACCGUCCAUUAACCAAACUUUCUCCGAGGUUCCAAGUGGUAGAAGGAAAGUUGGAUCAAAUAAAUACAUGAGCUGUAAACCCGAUUCAAGGAUAAUUAUAUCGGUGUCUCUGGGAUAGUAAACAUAACCUGCUGUACCGUACAUCCGCCUUGGCCGUACAGCAGAUAUAUAAAGAUAUAAUAUAAUAUUACAUUAUUUAAUUAUAUUACAACAAUUAAUACAUAAAAUUAAUUAUUUUUAGAUACAAAUGAGGGAUUGUAUCUCCUAAAAUCUAGUAUUUAAGUCAACACAUAGCUGUAAAAUACAACUGACAUCUACAACAAUAGUCAACACACAACUGUAAAAUAUAACUGACAUCUGAAACACUCCCCCUCAAGCUGGAGCAUAGAUGUUCUUCAUGCCCAGCUUGCAUACAAACUCUUCAAACUUGUGUCCAUGUAUUCCUUUUGUCAACAUAUCUGCAGUUUGUUGUCCUGUAGGAAUAUACACCAAACAGAUAACUCUAGUUUCCUAUUUCUCUUUAAUAAAAUGUCGGUCUACCUCCAUAUGUUUUGUCCUGUCAUGAUGGACAAGAUUAUGAGCAAUAUUAAUUACUGCCUUAUUUUCACAGUAAAGUUGCAAAGGACUGUUUUUUAUUAACUGUAGUUCUUUGAGAACACGUUCUAUCCACAGAAGCUCACAUACCACAUGUGCUAGUGCUCGAAACUCUUCUUCUGCACUGCUUCGUGCCACUACAGUUUGCUUCUUACUUCUCCAAGUUACAAGGUUUCCCCACACCUUAGUACAAUAACCUGUUGUAGACUUCUUAUCCAUGACGUUUCCAGCCCAAUCUGCAUCAACAAAAGCUUCUAUAUUCUUUUUUUCUCCCUUCUCAAAAUAAAUUCCCUUUUCCGGUGUUGACUUCAGGUAUUAAAGUAUUCGGUUUACUACCACUAAGUGAGCUUCUCUUGGAGAGUGCAUAAACUGGCUCACUAAGCUAACCGUAAAAGCAAUAUCAGGUCUAGUAUGGGAAAGAUAAAUUAAUCUCCCUACUAGUCUUUGAUAUCUCCCCCUCUCCACGGGUGCACUAUUUUCUUCAAGACCCAACUUGCUAUUUGGUUCAACUGGUGUGGCAGCAGGUUUACAGUCAAUCAUACCAUUAUCCUUUAGCAAAUCUAGGGUGUAUUUCCGCUGUGUAACUAGAAUACCUUAGGCUGUUCUAGCUACCUCCAUUCCUAAAAAAUAACGUAGUGGUCCAAGAUCCUUGAUUUCAAACUCACAAGCUAAUUUUGCUUUUAAUCCUUCCAGCUCUUCUUUGUCAUCUCCUGUUAGUAUAAUGUCGUCAACAUACACGAUCAAAAUAGCUAACUUCCCUUCUUUAGACCAUUUGUAGAACAUAGUGUGAUCAGUUUUCCCUUGAGAAUAACCGUAAUUCUUCAAGACUUUUCCAAACCGGUCAAACCAAGCCCUAGGGGACUGUUUAAGGCCAUAGAGAGACCUUUUUAACCGAAAAACUCUUCUAGCAGGUCCUUUUUCUUCAAAACCAGGCGACAUAUCCAUGUAAACCUCCUCUUCCAAUUCUCCAUUCAAGAAUGCAUUCUUGAUAUCAAGCUGGUUGAGAGGCCAAUCUAAAUUUGCAGCAAGAGAGAGAAUGAUCCUUACAGUAUUAAGCUUUGCCACUGGGGCAAAAGUCUCUAGAUAGUCCACCCCAUAGGUUUGUGUGAAACCCUUCGCCACGAGUCUUGCUUUGUACCUGUCCACACUUCCAUCAGCCUUAUAUUUGACUGUAAAUACCCACUUGCACCCCACAGUCCUCUUGUCUUUAGGUCUUGGUACAAGCUUCCAUGUGUUAUUCUUUAUUAAGGCUGUCAUUUCUUCUUGAACAGCUUUCUUCCACUCAUUUGACUCUAGGGCUUCAUGGAUGUUUCUUGGAAUAGUGGUAUUAGAUAGAUUAGCCACAAAAUUCCUAUACUCCUUAGAUAGAUUUGCAUAUUGUUAGCCUAAAGGGCUACACAUAUUGUAAUUUUGAUGAUAACAAACAUGUGUCUUAAGUAAAUUUAAUAAAUAUUGUAUUUCACAUUUUCACUAGUUUUUGAAGGAUAAUAUUUAUGCAAGUGAAUCAAGUGAAAUCAAGCUCAAGACACUCAACGGACAACGGCGAAAUCAAGAAUAAAUUUUAAAGCUCAACGGAUAAAUUAUUGCUAUAAAUUCUUGUAAAGCCGGUAUGAUUUAAUUGAUGCAUGAUUUAACAUUUGAGAAACUCAAGAGAUUAAUUUAAUUAAUUACUUUCAUAAACUAAAAGGUUUUAUUUUUUAUAAGAUAAAAUAUUUUGUGGUUUUGAGUAUUUUGGACUUAAAUGGAAAGUUUUGCAAUCCUUGUUCUUUUAAUAAGUAUUAUCUAGAAUUCCGGAGUUGGACCUUUUUGCAAAUAUGUGAAAUGUUUUAGGCCAUACUAUAAUUUGUGAACAUUUUUGGACUAAAGUGCAAAGUUGUGAGAACUUUGAAAAAUAUGAGUAUUAUGUUAAAUUUUGAAAAAAUACCUCUUUGACAAAUAAUAAUAUAUUUGGGGCCAUAGCAUAAUUUCAAAAAGUUUUGGAAAGAUAAUUAUUAUUAAGAAAUUCUGAAAUUGAACUUAUUUGUAAAUUUUUAUGACGUUUUGGGCCAUAACAUAAUUAUAAAAAGUUUUGGGCUAAAGUGUAAUUUUAGUGAACAGUGUUUAUGUAGCAAAAUUCAAAAAUAACGGUAAUAUCACUGUUACAAGCGGCUAGCCGGAUAAAUCAAGCUGCUAACCGCUUGGGCGUUGGAAUUUGGCUGUAACGGCUAGUUUUCGGGCUUUAACUAUAAAAACUCAACUCCAACUUCAUUUUAAGAACUAAUGCAAGCAUAAAUAAGAUCAUAUAACAUAUAUUGAGCUUCCAUUUUGCAAAUCAUCAUUUAUUGAAUCAUUAUUGAGUUAUAAUUUGUUAUCCACUCUUAAAGAGAGUUUCAUUGUUGUGAUUUUCAGUUCUCAUCAAAUUGUGAGUGUACAAGUGUGAGAAACACUUGGAGUGAAGAGAUUGAGGAUAUAAUCUUUUGUUGUAAAGGUCCAUUGACAUCUUGAAAGUCAUUUGUAAACAUUUAAAGCCUUGGGAGGCUUGGAUAGUGAAAUCAUCAAGCCGGGUGAGCUUGGAGGCGUGGACGUAGGCAGGGAUAGCCGAACCACGUAAAAAUCCUUGUGUUUGUUUUCUCUUCCCUUACUCUUUUAAUAUUGUGCUUGAUUGAAUUUAUUGUUUUUUAUUUGAUUAAGGCAAUAGAUUAAAUUGUUGUGCGAAUUGUAUUACAUAAAUUUUAAAAUCUCAAUUCACCCCCCCCCCUCUUGAGUUGCAUAACUUGCAUUUCACAUAUGACAAGAACUUGUAGAUAGGAUGUUUGGUGCAAUUUCUUACCCUUUUCCUUAUCGCAAUAGGCAAAUUUGUGGACUUCUGAGGUUCGUUCUCAGCAUAUUCAGUAGGUGGGUUUUUAUCCUCCCUUAGUUCAGAUCUUGGUUCUGCUUGGUCUAUAAGUGGUUGUACCUCUUGAGUUUUAUUCUUCCUUCGUGAAUAGACAUGAAACUCGCCUAUAGGUUCCUCCAAAUGUGAAUUGGCUUUUAUCUCUUCAUUCCUUGGUGCCACUAUUGGUUGAUUAAGUUCUAUGGUGUUAGGUAGGUUAGGAUGAAUGUCUGGACUGAGGAAGGAGGUAUUUGGUAGAUUGAGUUCUAGGCUGGAAUUACUGGACAUAUUGGGUUCUAGGCUGGAACUGCUGGACAUAUUGGGUUCUAGGCUAGAAUUACAAGGCAUCUUAGGUUCUAAAAUGUCAAGAAGAUCCCAAGAAUUAUCUUUUCUCAAAUUCUGCCCCUGAAGAGAAUUACUCGUGUAAAAUGGCUAAUUUUCAAAGAACUUGACAUCCAUUGCGACGAAUAAUUUUUUGGUAAGAGGAUUAUAUCACUUGUACCCUUUCUUGGUAGGAGAAUAUCCUAAAAAUAGGCACUUGAUGGCUCUAAGAGACAGCUUUGUUCUUUGAAGACUCAGAAGAUAUACAAAUGAUGUACAACCAAAAGUUUUGAGUCCAAGAUUAGAGGUAACAAGGUGAUUUUGUGGGUAGCUGUCAAGAAAAACAUAAAUAGGUGUCUUGAAUUUAAGAACUCGAGAGGGCAUACGAUUUAUGAGAUAAGAUGCUGUAAGAAUGGCCUCUCUCCAAUAUAUUUUUGGUACAUUUGCUGUGAACAUAAUGGCCCUAGCAACCUCUAAAAGGUGUCUGUUUUUACAUUCCGCAACCCUAUUUUGUUGUGGUGUUCCAGAACAAGAACUUUGGUGGACAAUUCCUUGUUGUGAUAGGUAAUUCCCUAAAAUAGAAUUGAAAUACUCAGUUCCAUUAUAUGUACGAAGUACACGAAUGUCAGUUUGAAACUGAGUUUUUACCAUGGCAUGGAACUGUUUAAAAGUUUGUCCAGCUUCAUAUUUUUCCUUCAAAAAGUACACCCAAGUGGUCCUAGAGUGGUCAUCUAUGAAUGUAAUGAAACAUUUUGUUUUUGACAGGUUGUUAACCCUUGAGGGGCCCCAAAUAUCACUAUGAAUCAAAGAGAAAGGUUGGGAUGGUUUAUAAGUACGGGCAGGAAAUGGAACACGUGUUUGUUUAGCCAUUUGACAAAAAUCACAAUAUAAUAAACUCAGAUUUUUAUUUUUAAAUAAGGAAGGAAACAGGGUUUUUAGGUAUGGAAAGCUAGGGUGGCCUAACCUAUAGUGCCACAACAUUAUUUCAGAAGAAACAAAUUCACAUUGAGAGACCUGAGCAUGUCCUUUCACGGGUCCUUUAUUCUCGAGAUACUACAGCCCCUCAUAUUCUUUCGCAUUCCCAAUCAUCCUCCCCAAGAUUGGAUCCUGAAAUAGAUAUUUAGAACCACAGAAUUUAGCUACACAGUUUGUGUCUUUGGUAAGUUUACUAACUGAAAGAAGAUUACAUUUAAGAUUUGGGACAUGUAAAACUGAAAAAAGAGUCAAACAAUUUGAUAGUUUUACUGUUCCUUUUCCAGCAACAGUGGAUAAUGAUCCAUCAACAAUCCUCACUUUAUAAUUACCUGGACAUGGAGUGUAACUAGAGAAAAAUUGAGAAUACCAUGUCAUGUGGUCUGAGACCCCUGAAUCAACUAUCCAAGGACCUUUUUCAAAGGAUUGGAUGCUAAGGGCUGAUGGGUUACCUGUAUGGACUGCAUUACAACUAGAGGAGGUCAAGUAAUUUCUUUUUGCUUGUUGAUUUUGUAUGAGAAGCUGUUGCAGCAUCUUAAAUUGAUCUUUUGCGAGAGCAAACUGAUUAGUUUUCUCUGUCACCAUUCCUUUUGCUUCCUACUGACGUUUUGGUUUCCAAUCUGCUGGCUUUCCAUGAAGCCUCCAGCAUGAGUCUCGAGUAUGUCCUUUCCUAUGACAAUAGUCACAAUAGGGACGUUCUCCAUGUUUUUGUCCCUUUUGGUUAGCUGACUGAUCUGUCUUUUUGGUCACCAACGCUAAUCUCUCUAUCUCAGGUUCCUUCACGAGUCCCAUCAUGACUCUCUUUUGACUUUCUUCACGCCUCACCUUAGCAAAAGCUUCUCGGAUGGAGGGUAGAGGAUUCUUUCCCAAUAUUCUGCAAACUCAAGAACUUCAUCAAGUUCUUUGUUGAGUCCAUAAAGGAAAUCAAAGAGGCGUUCUCUAUCCAACAUCCUCUUAUAUUUGAUGUCAUCCUCAGAGCAAUGCCACUGCGAUUCAUAGUAAAGGUCAAGUUCAUGCCAUAUAUUGUUUAGAGAAUUGAAAUAUUGAGUCACUGAAAGACUCCCUUGCUUUUGGUCACGUAAUUGUGACUUGAUUUCAAAGAGCUGAGCCGCAUUCCCAAGGUUAGAGUAGGUUUCUGUCACGGCUUCCCAAAGCUCCUUCGCAGAUGGUAGGAAGAGAUAAGUCCUACCAAUAUCCACGUCCAUCGAGUUGAUCAACCAAGCUUGCACCAUUGAAUUUUCAGCAUCCCACUGUGGAUAACCAGGAUCCAAGACAUCAAGGGCUUUGGUUUCCCCUGUAAUAUACCCUAAUCAGCCUUUGCCACGAAGAAAUAGGGUGACAGAUUGAGACCAUUGCAAAAAGUUUCUGCCAUUUAACUUGUGCAAUGUUAUUUGCAAAGAGGGGUUUUCGGUACCUAAGGAGACCAAAGAGUUGUCCUGCCUUGUUACAGAACUGGAGGAAAUCUCAGAUCCUUGUGUAGGGUUUGUUGUCCUCUCCAGUGGAAGGCUUGAGACUUUAGAAUGGAAGAGGAGAAAAAUUCAGAGGCUAAGUUCAAAAGAGCUGCCCUGAUACCAUGUGAAAAUCAGAUUUCUUCUGUUUUUACUCUCUAUUUUCUCAUCUUAUACAAUAGAGAAGAAUACCUAUUUAUAUACAUUACACCCUAGGAACAAAAUGGUAAAAACAGCUAAGAUAUUGCAAAUCAGUAUCCCUUAAAAUUAGGGAUUGUAUCUCCUAAAAUCUAGUAUUUAAGUCAACACAUAGUUGUAAAAUAGAGCUGACAUCUACAACAAUAGUCAACACACAGCUAUAAAAUACAGCUAACAUCUACAACAGAAAUAAACUUGGCAUGAUUAUUGUUGUAAGUCUCACUAGCAAAAGCAGUCUUAUCGAAGCCAGCGCUAUCAAGAAUUGUAAUCACUGAAAGCUCAGGUUGUCCCUCUAUCAAUACAUCUAACAAUUGCUCCAUGUCCCUCUAUCAAUACAUCUAACAACUGCUCCAUGUCCCUCUUCUGAACAAGAAAAAUACGAAGAAGAAGAAGAAGAAUCACUUGCUUCUGUUUGAAUCUCCUGCUUUAAUUCACUAACAUCUUCGCGGUUGGGGGGAAGUCGUUGUACCGGAUUUCUUAUAUCGAUGAUCUUAUUUUGGAUUCUUAUAAGAGCAUCGGAAAACUCCUUAGAAGUAGUAGCACUGCUUUCACUAUUGGUUGUAGUGACUGUCUCAAUGGCUCUCCCAGAUUCAUGGAAAAAGUAAUUGAUCUCCUUCAGAACGCCUAAAAAACCUUCUCUAUCGACAUGAUCUUCAUUGAUCAUUUGAAACAUAAGCCAAGCUAUGUCACCUUCAUAGUGCUACGGGAAAGAAAUUAUAGUAAUAAUCUCGAAUAGGAUGUUUAGAAUACGCGGCUUUAAAUUUGUUGAAUCCGGCAAUAUUCCUUCUUCACCUGCUAAUAGCCUUUUCAACCUCUCAGAAAAUAGUCGAAGGUUGGUGUCCAUAGCUUCUUCUCUCGGUAUUCUAGUAUUAUAAUUAGAGCAUUACUAAUUAUUCUUCACGAAAUGAUAGCACAAACAUUAAUGUGAAUACAUGAUUAUUAAAUCAAGUCCUAGGGGCGGAUUCAGAAACUUAAUUCAUUGGGACAAAAUUAUAAUAAAAUUAAUAAAUUAUAAAAUUUACCCCAAUAUUAAAAGUUCUUUAUAAACUUGCCUCCAUUGAAACAAAAUUGGAUAGAUGCUCGUUUAUCCUCUAUAUUUUGCAUUAAGUAUCUCUCAAUCUUUAUAUUUUAAAAAAUGUCUUAAGAUACUCUGCUAUUAAAUAUAUUAUACUUUUGUCCUUACUUUUUUUUUUAACUUUUAUAAAAAUAUCCUUACAAUAAUCUUAAGGAUAUUAAUUUAAAAUAACACAAAAAAAAGUACUAAAGAUACAAAGGACAAAAAGAAAAUUGUAUUAUGGUAAAUAUUAUUUUGUCCUAUAAACUUUUUUCUUUUUUGUAGAGAUAGUGUGUUAUUUUUUAUACACAUACCACGAUUGCUUCUAUACCAUUGAAAAAUAAAUAUAGCCUUUUCACGUGCAAAUUAUUCAAGAACUCUACAAAUUCUACAGGAUUUUGCAGCCAAAACGAAUUCUAAAAUUCAUAAAACUUAUGUCAUAUAAAGACAAAGUGUCUAGUACUGUAACUAAUUAAUUACGAAAUUUCUAAGCACUCAAUAGAUCAUUAAAAUCAUCAUUGUAGCUACGAUUUUCUUCCUAACGUUUCUCCAAUUCUAGAUAGUAGAUCUCUUUAUUAAAUGGUCAAAAAUUAGAAAAGCGGCUAAAUCAAAAACUGAAUUAUGAAACUCAUUAUGUAAUAAUCUAAACUUAACUUCUAAUUUUGUAAUAAAAUAGAUUACAAAUGAACAUAAAAAAUGAUCAAACUAUAAGUAUAAUUUAUUUAGAAGAAAAUCAAAAUAAUUAAUAAGAAAUUAAUCACUUACCAAAGUCAAGAAGUGCAAGAGAACAAACGCAAGUUAUUAUUCCCAGUGCGUCGAACUUAUGAUAAUCACAAUGAUCACUCAGAUUAAUAAAUUGGAAUCACAACUUUAGAUCUAGAAGUCAUGCUAAGUGUGUCUGCCAUUAGUCCUUUCAUGAAAAUGUUUAUACUCAUGAUUAAUUUGCAGCUAGGACUUUGUAAUUAUCCGAAUUGAAGUUUCAACUAAUUAUCUUGACUUUGGUCAGUGAUUUCUUUUAAAAUUAUUUUGAGUCUUUUUCUUUAAAUAAAGCAUGACGUUGGAUCACUAUUGACGUUAACUUGUGAACUACUUUAGUUGAUCCCCUCAAUAUUAGAAACUAUAUUAUAUUGGAAAUAAUUAAGAGUGUUAAAAUUAUGAAAUUUCGUAAAAUUUCAUAAUUUUUCAUGGUGUCAUUUAAGGUUUCUACUUGUAAAGGCAAUAGAUUUCUGCAGAGCUAGCUGGUCUUUAUGUGAUUGGAAAAAUCUAAGUUCUGUUAUACAAUCAACAUACUUAGUAUCAUCUGCCCAAAGUUUUACCAUAAUCACAAGUAGAGGUGACAAUUUGGGUUAGCAGGUUGUGUUCAUAUCAUAGCCUCCUCUUGCCAUUAAAUUUGAACUAGUUUAAAUCUGACCCAUUUAUUAAUUGUGUAAGGAAUUUAAAAUCCUAACCUAGACUCAUUUAUUGUCCUAUCUGAGUCGUUUAACCCAUUUAACAAAAUUUUAAUAUUUUAUUCAGAAAAUAUCACAUUGUUAACGUGUUUUUAUUUCAUAGCAUAUACAUAUUAUUAGAUUACAACCCGUAGCGAAGCUAGCAAAGGCCUUUUUCUGGGCUACAGCUCUGUAAGGUCCCUGCAAAAUUUCUUCUAAAUCCCUCUAUUUUUAGUUUAUGAAAAUAUAAUUACAGAAAUUACGGCUUUCUUCCAUCUGAUUUUUACUUGAGAUCUAAAAAUUAUGUAUAUAAUUUGAGUAGUUAUUAAAAGUUUGUUCAAGCAAUUAAGUUUGAGCAGUUCGCAUAGGCUUUUAUAUAUUCUAAGGGUUAAAAAAUUUAGGUAGCUUAGCCAAUAUAUCUGGAGUACAACGACUAGGGUGCAAGGAUGUUAUAAAAAUGAGAUUUCUCAGAAAGCUGCAAUAUUUUCUUAGAGGUGCAGGUAGAGUGAUGGAAUCAAAGUUUAGAUGCAUGAGUUUUGCAUCAUCCAAGUAUUCUGGUGACUGUUUAUAAGGGUGCAUAAUGAUGAAGGAAGGCUUUUGAGGGAAAGGAAUUGAAUUCAUGAGCUUCAAAUAUUUCAUAGAGAAUAAUUUUUUUCAUUCUAGAUGGACAUCAGUCGAGAAUCGAAAACUAGAUAACCUAAGGUCAUGUUUGUUUUGAAGAAAGGGGGAGGAGAGGAAAAGACUGGAAUGAAGGAGAAGGGAGAAGAAAGGAGUGGAGAAGAAUAGUGAAAUUGAAUUUUAUUAUUUGGUUUGACAUAAAAUUUGAUAGAGAAAGGGAUUAUAAUUUUUUUCUUUGGACAAAUUUAUCAUUUGCCUUAAAUGCUAAACUAUCUAUAUUAGUAAUAAAAUAUAAUUUAAUAUCAAUACCAAAAAUUUUUACCGUACGGUUUUAAAAUAUUAUGAAAUUAACACUUUAAAACCCUGUUUUCUUUUAUUUUCCCGCACUUUAAAAUUCUGGAUUGAAAAAUUUAUACACACACACACACACAUAUAUAUAUAAACGGCAGUCCAACGAAGUUCCAAAGGCAUUCCCACGACGAUCGAUGGAAUUCUGACGGCUUCCGACAAUAGUCUGAUAGUGAUCCAAUAGAACUCCGGCGACUUACGACGAUGGUCAAAUGGUAGUCUAGCAGAGUUCUGGCGACAGUCCGGCAGAGUUCCGGCUAUGGAUAAUUUAUAUUUCUAUAUUUUUAUAUUAAAUAAAUAAAUACCCCGAUGGAGGUCCCGUGAAGGUUCGGCGAAAGUCUGGCAAUAGUUAAUUUAUAUUUCUAUAUUUUCAUAUUAAAUAAAUAAGUUUAUUAUUUUGUUAAGUUUCUUAAAUCAUUCAUUAAAUUUAAUUAUUAUAAAUUUUUUUAUAAUAUUAAAUUGAUAAAAUAAAAUUAUAAAUAAUAAUUAUUAAUGGCAUUAAACAAGCUUGAAGGGUAAUUUUGGAAGGUUCAAUUUUCAACAUAAGAGGAAUUUGAAUUCUUCAUUCCUUGGUGUGAGAUUCAAAUUAUACAUUACGAUAGAUAUUAAAUUCUAAUGAAAAUUAAAUUUUUAUAUAUUUUAUCCAACCAAACAAUGGAAAUAAAAAUAAAAUUUAAGUUACUUUCCUUUCCUCCAUUCUCUCGUUCUAACCAAACAUCACCUAAGUUCAAUUUGAACUUUUUUUUACAAAUUUUUUCGGAAAAUAUGUGAUGGCAGGAUUAUUGCUUUCUCAGUUGAAGAUACGCAAAGAAUGGAGGUAUGUGUCAAAAUGCUUUAAAAAUUUUACUUCUUCAAUCGAAUUUCAAAAAUUUACUUUGUUAAUCAAAGAACUAGAGAACCUACAUAAUAUAUACCUUGGGGAAUUUGAACUUUUAAAUAAGCUUUCUGUUCAGAAAUUCAUUAAUCAAUUUACUUCCUAAUUAACAUGUCUAUAAAAUUCUAGAUCCUUUGGUCAAUAAUUUUAAAAAUUAAAAGGAUCAAAUCUCCUGCUUUUAUGUUAACAAAAGCUCAAAAGAAUUAUAAGUGAAAUUACUUACCAAAGUCAAAAGGUGCAUGCAGAGAAACUAAAAAAUUGCAAUGUAUCAACUUCAGGAGAAAUUUUAGAAUAAAUCAGAGUCAUCAUUUUAAUCAAAUAAUAAAUAAAUUAUAUUAUAAGAUAUAUGCAUUUAUUUUUAUACAAAUUAAGGUCAAUGGUAGCUAAUUAUCUAAAUGGAGGGGCGCUACUACAGUACAUGCAUGUAUCUCAUACAUGCAUAAAAAAUAGCUAUUGGAUUAAAUUGGAGUAGAUCGAAUGGUUGAGAUUUUUUAUUAUUAUUAAAUAUGAAAGAAAUGGAAACUUGAAAAAUCGGUAAACAUGAAACAUGGGACCAAUAAACAUGAAACGCAUACCAUUAACUUGAAACUAGGAUCAUUAAACUUAAAACUAAAGGAACUUGAAACUUAGAGCAAUAAACAUGGAACUUUGGAUCAUUAACUUGCAACUCCAAAAAUCACGCAAUUAAUGAACCAAUAAAUAUGAAACAUCUACCAUUAACUUAAAACUGGGACAAUUAAACUUGAAACCAAAAAAACUUGAAAUUGAGGGCAAUGAACAUGAAACUUGGAAUUAUUAACUUCCAACCCCAAAAACCAUGCAAUUAAUGGACCAAUAAACAUGAAACAUCUACCAUUAACUUGAAACUGAGACCAUUAAACUUGAAACCAAAUAAAUUUGAAACUGAGGGCAAUGAACAUGAAACUUAGGACCAUUAACUUGCAACCACGAAAAUCAUGCAACUAAUAGACCAAUAAACAUAAAACACCUACCAUUAACUUGAAGCUGAAACCAUUAAACUUGAAACCAAAUGAACUUGAAACUGAGGGCAAUGAACAUGAAAUUUAUGAUCAUUAACUUGCAACCCCAAAAAUCAUACAACUAAUGGACCAAUAAAAAUGAAACACCUACCAUUAACUUGAAACUGAGACUAUUAAACUUGAAACCAAAUGAACUUGAAACUGAGGGCAAUGAACAUGAAAAUUGGGAUCAUUAACUUGCAACCCUGAUUAAUGGACAAAUAAACAUGAAACACCUACCAUUAACUUAAAUCUGGGACCAUUAAAAUAGAAACCAAAUGAACUUGAAACUUAGAGUAAUAAACAUGGAACUUAAGAUCAUUAACUUGCAACCGCGAAAAUCAUGUAAUUAAUGGACCAAUAAACAUGAAACUCCUAUCAUUAAUCUGAAACUCAGAUCAUUAAACUUGAAACAAAAGGAACUUGAAACUUAGAGUAAUGAACAUGGAACUUAGGAUCAUUAACUUGCAAUCGCAAAAAUUAUACAAUUAAUGGACCAAUAAACAUGAAACACCUACCAUUAAUAUGAAACUGGGACCAUUAAACUUGAAACUAAAGGAACUUGAAACUUAGAGCAAUGAACAUGGAACUUAGGAUCAUUAACUUGCAACCCUGAAAAUCAUGUAAUUAAUGGACCAAUAAACAUGAAACACUUACCGUUAACUUGAUUCUGUAACCAUUAAACUUGAAACUAAUUUUUAUUUAUUAUAAAACUGAAUUUUUUAUUAUUAUGUUGCCUUUAUUAUUAAAAUAAUUAUUAUUUUAUUUUAUAAUAUAAUAUUUAUUUAAGGAACAACCGAUUGCCCUUUACGGAUUGCUCCAAGGUUUUUUCUUUUUUUUAAUGUUUGGCUGCCACUUGGCCAUAUUUUUUAAAUUUUUUUAUUACUCGCAUGUAUGUGAUACAUGCGGGGAUUGUAGCGGUGGCCCUAAAUGGAGACUUCUAGCUGGCCAAAGUCAAAACUCAAAAGAAGACAGCUGCAUGAUUUUUUUUUUUUGAAAAAAAAAUGAACCUUGGCUGCGAGGUAAUUUCAUUGAAAAAUAAAGGACAAUGUACUCUCCUGGUAAAGGGACAUAGUGGAGCCUUACUCUCAAAAUAGUUAGAAAACUGCAACACCAAAAAAAUAAAAAAGUAGAAAGAGCACACUUAAGAAAGAUGAUAACUAGAAAAUCUAUCAGCAUCAUUAGAAAGAAACCCUGAAAAUCCACCAAGGGUAAAUAAAAAGACAGUUACAUGAUUAAUUACUUAUUAGUCGUUAAUCAUAAAACAGAUAUAUGAAAAGAUAAUGAGGAGGUAGAGGCAUGAUUAUGAAUACAAUCAACAGACAUACAUAUUUCAUUUAUUCAAAUAAUGGAGCAUGAAGUCGAGGAGUGAGAAGGACUUGAAGCGGAGUGGCCUUAAGGUUAGUCAACCCCACUCCCUCACUCAUGUCAAGUGGUUCAUCCCCUGGAGUUGCAAAUUCAAAUCCAUGCAACAAACUAGCGAGUGUUAGUAGCAAGACUUGAAGGGCAAAAGAGAUUCCAGGGCACCCUCUUCUUCCGGAGCCAAAGGGUAUCAAUUCAAAAUUUUGUCCCCUAACAUCAAUAUCUUUGUGCGUUGUCAGAAACCUUUCUGGUCGAAACUCAUUAGGCUUUUCCCACACAUUUGGAUCUCGUUGAAUCUUUGGAAUAUUAACAAACAGACGUGUGCCGGCAGGCACAUGAUAGCCGGCUAUGGUGCAGUCUUCGAUGGAUUCAUGUGGUACAGAGAGGGGCGUGGCAGGAUAUAAGCGAAGAGUUUCCUUUACUACAGCUUGCAAGUAAACUAAUUUUUUUGUAUCAGAUUCAUUCACUUGUCUUUCUCUACCAAUAUGGGUAUCUAGUUCGUCUUGGACUUUCUUCAAAACGUCACCGUGGUUGAGUACUAAAGUCAGAGCCCAUGUCAAUGUGACCAUGGUGGUGUCCGUACCCCCCAAUAUAAGGGCCUGCAUGCAAAAGAAGGAACGUAACCAUACCCGGCCCCAAGCCGAAGUCACUAAGAUUAUCGUGAAUCCAAAUAAAAUAAAAAAUAUAUAUAUAAAUACAACUUAAUCAAUGUGACUAAUUAUUAAUUAAUGUGUGUUUUGGGGAUGUAUUUACUUACUUGAGUGAUAUGUGUUUAUUUAUGAGUAAGAGUGAAAAUCUCACUCCAUGAGUCCCACGUAUUUUUGGAGUGAGAAGUGAGAUUCCCACUCCCAUGGGGGCUGGUGGAAGUGGGAAUCCACUCCUCUCUAUUUCUUUUUUACUAUUUCCUUUAAAUAUAACAUAAUUAUACCCAUUAAACUAAAAUAAUAUUACAUUUAUUUAAAAAUAAUAACAUCAUAUUAUUUAAAAAUAAUAUUAUUAUAUUAUUUAAUAAAUUACAUUUAUUUAUUUACAUUAUUUGUCUAUAUUAUUAAAGUUUCAUUUGUGUUGCUUUUAUCAAUAAUUUUUAAUUUACAUACUUAAAAUUAAAAUUAAUAAAAAAUGUAAUUUACAUAAUUAAGAAUAUUAAUAACAAUUAUUAACUUAUAUGAUUAAAUUUAAUAAUAAAAUAAAUAGUUUAUUUUUGAAAAUAUAUUUUUCAUUCACUUUGUAAUUAAGAACUACAAUUCUGUAUAUAAGUGUAAAACUAUAAAUUAAAACAAUUCACUCCUAAUCUAAAACAAAAAUAAACACAUAAAUGAGAUUUUUAUUUCUAUUCUUCACUCCUAUUUCAGUGUAUGUAAAUAACUUACUCUCUCUUCAAUUCUAUACUAUCAAUCCCAAGAUCUUCAAUCCUCAAGAUUUUUAAUCUAAUCACAAAAGUAAAUGCUACCUCAACAUAAUCUAAUAUUGAAUAAUUGGAAAAAAAAUUAGCGAAAACCUUUUUAUAAUAAAUGUUGUAAAAUCUUAUAUAACAUUGUCAAUGUGCGCGUCUACACGACUCUAUAGAUGUAGAAUUUCUUAGGUGUAUUUAUAUAAUUGUGUUUUAUUAAGAGAUCUCUUAGUGCAUUUUUGGGAGUUAGGAUUAAAUAUGGAAUUAGAUUAACUUUUAGAUUAAAUAUUUUAUUCUAUAUUUGGCUACUUUGUUUGGAUUGGAUUAAGGAGGACUAAAUUUAAAUUUAUUCCUCAAAUCAAGGGAUUAACAAUCCCAAUUUAUAAGUGGGUUUAGAUGGGAUUAGAAUAAGAGAAAAAAUUUAUUCAUAUUUCUUUCAUAGAUAUUAUUAUUUUUUAUUUGUAACCUAAAAUUUAAUUACUUAAUUAAUUAUUUUAUUCAUGAUUAACUUGAAUUUAUUUUUUAUUUUGUUUUUAUAGUCUAAUUAAAUUGGUACUUUUACUCCAAUAAAAUUAACUAUUUAAUAAUUUGUUACAAUAAUUGAUUGUAUUAAAUUUAAUAAUCACCAAUGUAAUAUUAAAAAUAAUCAUGGAAAUUAAUAAUACAAGUAAAUAAUUGAUUUUAUAUGUACAUUAUUUGCUAAAUUUUUGAUAAAAUAAAAUAUAUAUCUAAAAUAUCUGAUAAAAAUUAAUUAAAUAAUUAAAUAGUUUUAUUAAUUUAUAUUUGUUUACUAUAGUUAUAACUGCCCAAUAACUAAUUUACUACAUAUUUAAUGCUCUUGUUAAUUACCUUUAAAUUAAUUUUAAUUAUUACUCUUAAAUAUUCAUAAAUAUUUUUUUGUAUUUAAAUAUGAUUUAACAUUGUCCAAUCCGAUAUUGUACCAAAUAUAGUACAAUAUAUAAUAUAAUCCAGCUUAAUCUAAUCCAACUUAAUUUAAUCCAAUCCAAUCUUAUGUGCUAAACAUAACUUGAAGUUAUUAAAGUUAGGGAUAAAUUAAAAGACAAGAUAAACAUAUAUUCUAAUACACUACAUGACAAAAUACACAGUAUUAAAAUAUGUAUUUUGCUUGUCAUUAGUUUAUUCCCUUGCUGAAUAAUUUUUUAAUCAUGAAUCUGUAACCAAAUUAAGGUCAGAGAAGAGUUAAAGAGACAAAAAAACACAGACUCCAAUGCAGUGCACUUUGUCCUGUAAUAUAUUGAAAUCUGUAUUUUUUAAUGUUUUAUCUUAUCUCUAACUUUAAUAUCAUCAAAGAUCCUUGAUUGGAAACUCACUCUCUCAUAUAUAUAUAUAUAUAUAUUUCUCUAGUGAGGGUUAGGAUGCUGCUAACAAAAAAAAAAAGCCACCUAUUUCAAUACACUAACAGAUAAAAAAAACACAAUUUUUAAUAUAUUGAAAUCUAUAUUUUUUAUAUAUUAUAUAUAUAUAAUAUAAUAAUUUUACAAUAAAAGAUCCCUUCAGUUAUUAAGUUAAGGAAUAAGUUAGAAGACUAAAAAAAAUAUACAAUUCAAUAGAUUACAAAAUAAAGUAUGUUGUAUUACUAUUUAUCUUUCAAUUUAUCCCUUAACUUAAUAAUUUAAGAGAUUUCUUAUUAGGUUAUAUUUAUAUACCAUAGUAAUUUAGGUGCAGAUGCCAAAAUAUAUAUUUUGUGUGGAUUCGCGAUAACACCAUAUAUCGUGUUAAUAAUAUAAUACUCACUAUUAAUAAUUGUGACUAAUUAAAUAAUUUUGAUUAAAAUUAAGGUGCAUACCAGGCACGUUGCUUUGGUGAUCGUAUCGGCAUCAAAACUAGGGAUCUCUUCAUCAGCUUCGGUAAGAACGGAUAUCAUCACGUCCAUGAAGUCAUUCUCAUCCUUGAUCACCUGAUCAUCGCUUGAAAUCCUCUUCUGCUUAUGAUCUUUUAACCAGCCUUCAAGAAUUUGGUCAAGCUCUUUCGCUGUCCUCCCCAUGCUCUUCUCACAUCCAUCUAAAUCCAACCACCUCAAAAAUGGAACGGCAUCAGCAAUUGCAAAACCCCCAGUUAAUUCCGAAAAUUUUCUUAUUGCCUUUCGACACCGAUCAUUCUCUUCAUCAAUCUCUUGAUGAUUUGUUUUACCAGUCCCUCCCACGAAUAAUCUUUUCCCCACAACCAUUCUUGUAGCGACAUUUAAGGUCACUGCGUUAAAUCUUUCCUUCAUCUCAACCAAGGCCUUGCCUGAACCAUCACUGUGCUUCAUCCAUUCAUCAUAUAGUUCUUUCAUGGACGUUCUUACCUCAGAUUCUCGGACAUGUUUCAGCAUUUCCAGGCGGUGAUUUGAGAGAACCUCCAGUGUGGCAAUCUUGCGGAUUUGGCGCCAGUAAGGACCGUAAGGGCUGAAGCCAAACAUGGCGUAGUUGUAGCCCAAGAUCUCUGGUGCUAGAGCUUUUAUGCGGUUGGAAAAAACUUUAUCAUUUGUAGUGAAGCACUCUUUAGCAAUCUCCCAGUUGCUAACAAUCAAAGCUCUAUGCAUACCCAGCUUGAUCAUGAAGAUCGGACCGCACUUUUCGGCGAUGUUGCCCAAGGUGACAUAAGCUGGUUUUUGGCCCCCUAACAGGUGGAGGUGACCAAUCAAAGGCCAUGCACCACCAGGCUCCGGCACCGGUUUCUUGUCGAUUGAGUUUC
RNAcentral lists this long non-coding RNA (17428 nucleotides) under Citrus sinensis (sweet orange). RNAcentral's name for it is "long non-coding RNA (CSIN_LNC001124)". The record is from RNAcentral. Lineage: Eukaryota; Viridiplantae; Streptophyta; Magnoliopsida; Sapindales; Rutaceae.